This 588-nucleotide long non-coding RNA is filed under the name Olea europaea subsp. europaea. The record is from RNAcentral. Lineage: Eukaryota; Viridiplantae; Streptophyta; Magnoliopsida; Lamiales; Oleaceae.
GCAUGAUUAUAUGAAAUAUCUUUUAGUGCAGGAAGUCUCUAUAUGUUCAUAGAUUAUGUCUAUUUUAUUCGAGAAUUCAGUUUAAUAUGUAAUCCAAUCAUGUGUCCAAAGAGAUCACGAAACAGAGAUCCAAUGGACGAGUAAAUUGGAACAUUAUUAAUUUCGCAAAACGAAGAAAUUGCCUCUAGACAUUAGCCCAUUACUGGACGGUUUAGGGACACAGUGCGUUUGCUUAUAAUUCAAUUCAACCAGAAGCACCCAAUCAUCUACAAUUUACCAAAAAUUACGAAUUCUAACAUCACAUCUCACAAAUUUUAGAAUAAAGAAAUAUAGACGACAAAAAAUUAGAAGAAAUGUGCCAGUAGGAUAAAGGGCCUGAAAAUUCAGUAAUCAAAUUCAGGAGAGUGAUACUGGCAAAUUAUUAUCGCAAGUUAUGAGUAAAAUAAUUGGCUGGAUCGUUGAUUUUACCGGGAUCCAGUCAAGAAGCUGAACUUGCUCGCAAUAAUUUCUUGUCUUCUGUCGGACGCAUAAUACAAUUCAAAGGAAAAACAAAAUCAUAUACACACCAAAAGAGAAUCUAGGAGCCUG